GAUGAACGCUGGCGGCGUGCCUAAUACAUGCAAGUCGAGCGAACGGACGAGAAGCUUGCUUCUCUGAUGUUAGCGGCGGACGGGUGAGUAACACGUGGAUAACCUACCUAUAAGACUGGGAUAACUUCGGGAAACCGGAGCUAAUACCGGAUAAUAUUUUGAACCGCAUGGUUCAAAAGUGAAAGACGGUCUUGCUGUCACUUAUAGAUGGAUCCGCGCUGCAUUGGCUAGUUGGUAAGGUAACGGCUUACCAAGGCAACGAUGCAUAGCCGACCUGAGAGGGUGAUCGGCCACACUGGAACUGAGACACGGUCCAGACUCCUACGGGAGGCAGCAGUAGGGAAUCUUCCGCAAUGGGCGAAAGCCUGACGGAGCAACGCCGCGUGAGUGAUGAAGGUCUUCGGAUCGUAAAACUCUGUUAUUAGGGAAGAACAUAUGUGUAAGUAACUGUGCACAUCUGGACGGUACCUAAUCAGAAAGCCACGGCUAACUACGU
This 496-nucleotide ribosomal RNA is filed under the name uncultured bacterium. RNAcentral's name for it is "partial 16S ribosomal RNA". It matches the Rfam family "Bacterial small subunit ribosomal RNA", at positions 28 to 506 of the family's 1533-position model. The record is from RNAcentral.